AUACGUAGGGAGCGAGCGUUGUCCGUAAUUACUGGGUGUAAAGGGAGCGUAGGCGGGAGUGCAAGUCAGAUGUGAAAUACAUGGGCUCAACCCAUGGGCUGCAUUUGAAACUGCAUUUCUUGAGUGAAGUAGAGGUAAGCGGAAUUCCUGGUGUAGCGGUGAAAUGCGUAGAUAUCAGGAGGAACACCGGUGGCGAAGGCGGCUUACUGGGCUUUUACUGACGCUGAGGCUCGAAAGCGUGGGGAGCAAACAGGAUUAGAUACCCUGGUAGUCCACGCUGUAAACGAUGAUUACUAGGUGUGGGGGGACUGACCCCUUCCGUGCCGCAGUUAACACAAUAAGUAAUCCACCUGGGGAGUACGGCCGCAAGGUUGAAACGCAAAUGAAUUGGCGGGG
RNAcentral lists this ribosomal RNA (396 nucleotides) under uncultured bacterium. Its description in RNAcentral is "partial 16S ribosomal RNA". It matches the Rfam family "Bacterial small subunit ribosomal RNA", at positions 523 to 918 of the family's 1533-position model. The record is from RNAcentral.